UACAGAGGGGGCAAGCGUUGUUCGGAAUUACUGGGCGUAAAGGGCGCGUAGGCGGCCCGCUAAGUCGAACGUGAAAUCCCCAGGCUCAACCUGGGAACUGCGUCCGAUACUGGCAGGCUUGAAUCCGGGAGAGGGAUGUGGAAUUCCCGGUGUAGCGGUGAAAUGCGCAGAUAUCGGGAGGAACACCAAUUGCGAAGGCAGCUCGCUGGGACGUCACUGACGCUGAGACACGAAAGCGUGGGGAGCAAACAGG
This 253-nucleotide ribosomal RNA is filed under the name uncultured bacterium. Its description in RNAcentral is "partial 16S ribosomal RNA". It matches the Rfam family "Bacterial small subunit ribosomal RNA", at positions 524 to 776 of the family's 1533-position model. The record is from RNAcentral.